RNAcentral lists this long non-coding RNA (231 nucleotides) under Vigna radiata. RNAcentral's name for it is "long non-coding RNA (VRAD_LNC006215)". Lineage: Eukaryota; Viridiplantae; Streptophyta; Magnoliopsida; Fabales; Fabaceae. The record is from RNAcentral.
GUUGAUAAAGGUAGUUCUGAGCAAAGGAAAAAGGCACGACAACAAUAGAUAAUGUGUCAUAAACUUAAUUACAACAACCAUGUUGGGUCAUAUUCAAUUUAGACAUUUAAAAAAUAAAAGAAUCAAACAAAAAGUGUUUCACAAGAAAAAUGAAUUCAGGUUUGGAACGAAUUCUGAAAACGCGCAUCUUUCUUCUCUCCAUUUUCAGAAAUUAAACUACCUCCAAACUUU